CCUACGGGAGGCUGCAGUGGGGAAUAUUGGACAAUGGGGGGAACCCUGAUCCAGCCAUGCCGCGUGUGUGAAGAAGGCCCUCGGGUUGUAAAGCACUUUCAGUGAGGAAGAACGCCUGGUGGUUAAUACCCAUCAGGAAAGACAUCACUCACAGAAGAAGCACCGGCUAACUCCGUGCCAGCAGCCGCGGUAAUACGGAGGGUGCGAGGUUAAUCGGAAUUACUGGGCGUAAAGCGCGCGUAGGUGGCUUGAUAAGCCGGUUGUGAAAGCCCCGGGCUCAACCUGGGAACGGCAUCCGGAACUGUCAAGCUAGAGUGCAGGAGAGGAAAGUAGAAUUCCCGGUGUAGCGGUGAAAUGCGUAGAGAUCGGGAGGAAUACCAGUGGCGAAGGCGGCCUUCUGGACUGACACUGACACUGAGGUGCGAAAGCGUGGGUAGCAAACAGGAUUAGAUACCCUUGUAGUC
Molecule: ribosomal RNA, 464 nt
Filed under: Vreelandella stevensii
Lineage: Bacteria; Pseudomonadati; Pseudomonadota; Gammaproteobacteria; Oceanospirillales; Halomonadaceae
Description: partial 16S ribosomal RNA
Rfam family: Bacterial small subunit ribosomal RNA
Source: RNAcentral